Molecule: long non-coding RNA, 627 nt
Organism: Carassius auratus (goldfish)
Lineage: Eukaryota; Metazoa; Chordata; Actinopteri; Cypriniformes; Cyprinidae
Exons: 3
Source: RefSeq, a predicted model, not a curated record
CUGUUACCUGCUGGUUCGAAAUGAUCCCCCCUUCCAUCCCUAAAGGUCCAGAACAUUCUGAAAGAACAUACAGAGAAAGACAUGAUGCUGUCUUCGCUCUCGAAGCCUAAGAUGUCCUCUCUACUGUCAUUGCUGUCUUACGUUCCUCCACCUACGGAGAUGACACCCAUUUUCUGGUGCUCCGGGGAGAACAUUACUGGAGUAACAGCCAUCUCCGAACGAUCGCAUUGACUGGGGAGAUUGGAAAAGUAGCUGCAGGCUGCUCAGACUUGCCUGUAGGGAGCUUCUGCUGUUGUGUUUGGACAGCAUGAUUGCAAAUCAAACCUUCUGAAGGGGUGUAACAUUUAUAUACACUCCUCAUAGCCAUCAGAACAAAAGGAACUCAAGAGACUCGUUACAGACAGAAAUUCAGGGACCUGCAAGGAGGAGCACAGGCUCAGCUGUGUCAGAUAAUGUAUCUGGCAGAGAUAAACCAGACCUUUGGGUUUACCACAACAACAGAAGAGCACUGGAGGGCAACAACCAAAUCCACCGCUCAAACAGGGUCACCUCACGAGAACUGAAAGCACAGAUGAACACAACAAAUGUGCAAUUUAAGGAUCUGAUGUUAGAUUGCACUGAUCCUCU